This 235-nucleotide ribosomal RNA is filed under the name uncultured bacterium. RNAcentral describes it as "partial 16S ribosomal RNA". It matches the Rfam family "Bacterial small subunit ribosomal RNA", at positions 118 to 347 of the family's 1533-position model. The record is from RNAcentral.
UGAGUAACCUGCCCUUCACUCUGGGAUAACUCCGGGGAAACCGGGGCUAAUACUGGAUAUGACUCGAACAGGCAUCUGUUUCGGGUGGAAAGAUUUAUUGGUGGAGGAUGGACUCGCGGCCUAUCAGCUUGUUGGUGAGGUAAUGGCUCACCAAGGCAACGAUGCGUAGCCGACCUGAGGAGGGUGAUCGGCCACAUUGGAACUGAGACACGGUCCAGACCUCCGUACGGGAGCA